RNAcentral lists this ribosomal RNA (491 nucleotides) under uncultured bacterium. RNAcentral's name for it is "partial 16S ribosomal RNA". It matches the Rfam family "Bacterial small subunit ribosomal RNA", at positions 29 to 507 of the family's 1533-position model. The record is from RNAcentral.
UUGAACGCUGGCGGCAUGCUUUACACAUGCAAGUCGAACGGUAACAGGCCUUCGGGUGCUGACGAGUGGCGAACGGGUGAGUAAUGCAUCGGAACGUACCCAGAGGUGGGGGAUAACGCAGCGAAAGCGUUGCUAAUACCGCAUGUGAUCUGAGGAUGAAAGCGGGGGACCGGGCAGCAAUGUUUGGCCUCGCGCCUUUGGAGCGGCCGAUGUCGGAUUAGCUAGUUGGUGGGGUAAAGGCCUACCAAGGCGACGAUCCGUAGCUGGUCUGAGAGGACGACCAGCCACACUGGGACUGAGACACGGCCCAGACUCCUACGGGAGGCAGCAGUGGGGAAUUUUGGACAAUGGGCGCAAGCCUGAUCCAGCAAUGCCGCGUGCGGGAAGAAGGCCUUCGGGUUGUAAACCGCUUUUGGCAGGAACGAAACGGUGUCCGCUAAUACCGGGCGCUAAUGACGGUACCUGCAGAAUAAGCACCGGCUAACUACGUG